Long non-coding RNA from Mustela putorius furo (domestic ferret), 3944 nucleotides. The record is from Ensembl. NCBI's taxonomy places the organism in Eukaryota, Metazoa, Chordata, Mammalia, Carnivora, Mustelidae.
AUGGACCAACCAAAAGCAGCUACUGCCCACAGGCCUUCAGUGAUGUGGAGGCCAGGUUGGGAGAGGGGAAGGUUUCCACCUUGUGGUCCACGUCACCGGAAGAGCGUCGUCUGGGGCAGCCUUGUUUCCGCGACUCCCUCUGUCCUCGCUGAUGGUCUUCUUCCACUUCCUGUCCUCAGACCCUCCCCUCUCCUGAGCUCCUCAAAGCUUCCCGCUGCCUUUCUGUCGUCAGGAUUUUCUGUUCAUGCCUAUUACAGUGUGUUUUCUCCUGUCGAUGUGGACGUGGCUCUGAGUCCCGCUGGAAGGACCGCGGGGCAGGGGGAUGUCUUCCUCCCCACCAGCAUUCCCUUUCUUACCUGUCUGUCACAGCUAAUUGGAUUUGGUGUUAAGUCUCAGGAAUUCCAAGAAAAUAGUCACCAUAUAGUUUUCUCUUCCUAAUUUGUAAUUUAAAAAAAUUCCGGGGGGUCUGGGGGGCCCAGUUGGUUAAACGACUGCCUUUGGCUCAGGUCGUGAUCCUUGAGUCCCGGGAUUGAGUUCUGCAUCAGGUUCUCUGCUGAGCAGGGAGUCUGCUUUCCCCUCUCAUGACUCUCUCAAAUAAAUAAAAUAUUCUGGGAAUCUCUUUGAGAAGAGUACAUAUUUUGAUUUUUUUUGUUUAAGAUUUUAUUUAUUUGUUUAUUUAACAGAAAUAGAGAGCACAAGUAGGUAGAGCAGCAGGGGGAGGGAGAAGCAGGCUCUCUGCUGAGCAGGGAGCCUGAUGGGGGCUCCAUCCUAGGACCCUGGCAUCUCGACCUGAGCUGAGGGCAGACGUCGACUGAGCUGCCCAGAAGCCCCUAUUUCUAUGUCAUUAAGUGGCAGGUCUUUUUUUUUUUUUUAUUAAGAUUUUAUUUAUUUAUUUGAUAGACACACAGCGUAAGAGGGGACAUAAGCAGGCAGAGUGGGAGAGGGACAAGCAGGCUUCCGGGGGGGCAGGGAGCCUGAUGCAGGGCUUGAUCCCAGGGUCCUGGGAUCAUGACCUGAGCCAAGGCAGAUGCUUAACGGCUGAGCCACCCAGGUGCCCCUUAGAUGGCAAGUCUUACUGAGAUCUGUUCGGAGUUUUUAACUUUCCAGCGUCUAGAACUUACAUUGCUGUAUUUGAGGUUAUACUUUCUUUUUUAAAUUUCUCCAUCAGGUGAUCAAAUGGAUGCAUUUCACCUAAAUAUAACUUGAUUUCCUUCAGGAGAUCUUCCAUCCGAGGGCUUUCUGAAAACGAGGUUUGUUUCCUGUCAUUCGGUUCUGGUUUUGUGAUACUGUUUUCUGUUUCUAUUCCGUUGUUUUCGUAAGCAUUCCAGAGCUUAGACGUUUGCAAGUUUUGCUUGGCCAAAUUGGCAUGUUUGGUAAGAACAUGAGUUUUCUCUCUUUCCCUCUUCCCUUCCCUUUCUUCCCCCUUCUCCUUUGUAAGGAUUUUACUUUAAAGUCCCAGUAUGGGACUCAAACUCACAACCCUGACGACAAGAGUCCCCUGCUCUGCUGACUGAGCCAGCCAGGGGCCCCAGGAGCUGGGAUUUUCUGAUUGUUAGCUGCAGGGCCCUAGUUUAUGUCCGUGACAGGAGGUUCAUUUAAAUGACGUGACUGUGGAUGUAUCUUCUAUUUUUUUGAUGUAAAAAAAAGAUUUUAUUUAUUUGACAUUCUGUGAGAGAGGGAACACAAGCUGGGGGGUGGGGAAAGGGAGAAGUGGGCCCCCCGCGGAGCAGGGAGCCUGGUGGGGACUCAGUGCGGGGCUCGAUCCCAGGACCCCCGGAUCAUGACCUGAACUGAAGGCAGAUGCUUUCACUGACUGAGCCCCCCAGGCACCUCUUUAGUUUUUCUUUUUUUUUUAAAGAUUUUAUUUAUUUGUCAGAGAGAGAGCGAGCACAGGCAGACAGUGAGGCAGGCAGAGACAGAGGCAGAAGCAGGGUCCCCGCUGAGCAAGGAGCCGGAUGUGGGACUCGAUCCCAGGACGCUGGGAUCAUGACCCGAGCCGAAGGCAGCUCUUAACCAACUGAGCCACCCAGGCGUCCCUAUUUGUAAGUCUUAAUAAUUAUGUUUUGCGUGAUCUGAAGUGCGUCUUGAGAAGCAUUUUUCUCUGCGCGGUUCUGCAGCGUCUGCGGCGACGGCUGUCUCCCCUCCUGCCCCGGAACUCGGUACCCGGUUCCCGCUGGUGCCUGCCCCGCAGCUUCUGGCGUCCUGAAGGUGGUGUUUGGCUUGUGAUGCUGUUCUCGGUUGGAGGUUCUGAGGCCGUGUCGUUGCCCUUUUCUUCUCUGAAGGAAGACCUGGUUCCCGAUCGCGGUUCUGUUCUGUGGCUGUGCCUGGUUCCCGAUCGCGGUUCUUGGAAACUUCCCUGGUGUUUGCCUUGAGCCUCUCUCAUGUCCUUGGAGUGUUUUUCUAUCGCUUGGAAACAGUGGAGUUUUAAAAGAAUUGAGUGGAAUUACUACGCACAGUGUGUUCCUUAAACUCGUACAGCGCUAGGUUUGGUUGUAUGUCAUACUGGAAAAACAAAACUGACUUUUAGCAUAUCUUUAGUCUUCAUUUAGUUACAGUUCUUGUGUUUACUGAGGUGUUUGAGUUAAAUGUGCUCUUGUCUGGGGAACACUAAGGAUUGCGCCUGUUGAGACGGGGUUGACUGGAGACGUUUCUGGAUUGCACUGUCCUCCCCGGGUGCCCCGCCUUCCCUUGGCCACAUUGUCGUUCCUGGGGGGAGAACAUGCUGUAGGUCGGCUUUUCUAGUGGCCGAAGCCUUCACCACCGUGCUGACGGCACGACCCGCCAGGACAGGAGCGUCGCAGCACGGCUGUGCCUCUGGGCAGCGCAGCCCCAGUUCUCCCGGCACCCGGUCCCGUUGCUGUGAGCUCGGGUCUUAACGUUGCAGCUACGACCCACCUUCUCUGGUGUGUGUCCCUCUCUGUGUGCCUUCCAUACCCCCGCAGGUGGCCUGUCGGCGUCCCCUCCGUGCCGGCGGGACAGCUCGCGACUCUGCGCGCCCCAUACAUAACCACAGGACCCUGGGGAACCAAGUACUAGUUGUCCUUUAGAAGGAAGGAAACCGUGGUGGUGGUGACAGCGUGGAUGAACCUGGAGGAGUGACAUCAGGAAAUAAGCCAGACAUAAAUCCUGCGGGACCUCGUGUGUGGGAUCCAAGGGAGUCGAACUCCGUAGACACGGUGCGCGCGUGGAGGGCUGGCCGCAGGGCUGGGGAGGGAAGUGGGAGGGCGUCUGUUGCAGGUGGAGACGUCCAGCUCCGAGUGAGGUCUGGGGACCUGCGGUGCAGCACACUGACCGCCGCUUACACAUGUGCCCGAUACGUGGAAUUUGCUGAGAGAGAGCAUGUUCUCGCCUUCGAAAGAAACGGCACGUGUCUCCGGUGAUGGAGCUUCCCCUUCGCGGUGGUCGGUUUACAGUGUGGACGUGAUCACAGCCUCCUCUUGUACACCCUCAGCGGCUUUGUCGUGCUGCGGUCCAGCCGGGGACAGGAGGAGCUGACCGGGCCGUGGUUCUCUCUGUUCUGGAGCUGAGCCAUGUGGCUCUGGGCCCCCAUCUCCCUGCUGCUCCCGGCCUCUCCUCCGAUUGGGAUUGGGCCUCCUGACCCCCUGCGGCGCCUGCACGGUCCUGGACCGCUUCCUGGGUCUCACUUGAGCAGCAGCAGCAGCUCCCUCCAGCUCUGUUUCACCGGUCUUAAAUGGCCAGACUGAUGACAACCAUGUGUGGAACGGGUGGCUGUCGUGGUUAUUUUACGAAUGCUGACUUAAUUAACUGAUUUUCUGAGGAUGAUUAGACAAGAUACUUCAACACAUUUAUUUGAAAGGCAGGGAGAGAGUUGAGAGAGAGCAUAAGAGGGGAGAGGGUCAGAGGAAGAAGCAGAAGCAGACCCCCNNNNNNNNNNNNNNNNNNNNNNNNNNNNNNNNNNNNNNNNNNNNNNNNNNNNNNNNNNN